CAUGCAAGUCGAACGAGGAUAUAUCCUUCGGGAUAUAAGCCGAGUGGCGCAAGGGUGAGUAAUGCAUAGAUUACCUGCCUCUAGGAUAAGGACAACUUUGUGAAAACGAAGCUAAUACUUAAUAAUACAAAAGAAAAUAAUUUUCUUUUGUCAAUGGGAGGGUAGCAAUACCUUUUGCCUAGAGAGGGGUUUAUGUCCUAUCAGCUUGUUGGUGGGGUAAUGGCCUACCAAGGCGAAGACGGGUAGCCGGUCUUAGAGGAUGGUCGGCCACACUGGGACUGAGACGCUGCCCAGACUUCUACAGAAGGCUGCAGUCGAGAAUCUUUCGCAAUGCCCGAAAGGGUGACGAAGCGACGCCGCGUGAGUGAGGAAGGCCUUAGGGUUGUAAAGCUCUGUCAGGAGUUAAGAAAUAUAAGUGUGUUAAUACCACGUUUAUUUGACGAAGGCUCCAAAGGAAGCCACGGCUAACUCUGUGCCAGCAGCCGCGGUAAUACAGAGGUGGCAAGCGUUGUUCGGAAUUAUUGGGCGUAAAGAGCACGUAGGUGGGUUUGUAAGUCAGAUGUGAAAGCCUUCUGUUCAACGGAAGAAUUGCAUCUGAAACUGCAAGUCUUGAGUGUAGGAGGGGAGAAUGGAACUUCUGGUGGAGCGGUGAAAUGCGUAGAUAUCAGAAGGAACGCCGGCGGCGAAAGCGAUUCUCUGGCCUAUUACUGACGCUCAGUGUGCGAAAGCUAGGGGAGCAAACGGGAUUAGAUACCCCGGUAGUCCUAGCCGUAAACGAUGGGCACUAAGUAGAGGGAAUUACCGAUGUUCUCUCUGCCGUAGCUAACGCAUUAAGUGCCCCGCCUGGGGAGUACGGCCGCAAGGCUAAAACUCAAAAGAAUUGACGGGGGCUCGCACAAGCGGUGGAGCAUGUGGCUUAAUUCGAUGCAACGCGAAAAACCUUACCGGGGCUUGACAUGGUAGAAGUAGGAACCCGAAAGGGUAACGAACGGUAUCCAGUCCAUAGCUAUCACAGGUGUUGCAUGGCUGUCGUCAGCUCGUGUCGUGAGACGUUGGGUUAAGUCCCCUAACGAGCGAAACCCUUGUUUUCAGUUACCAGCGGGUUAUGCCGGGUACUCUAGAAAGACUGCCGUCGUCAAGACGGAGGAAGGUGGGGAUGACGUCAAGUCAUCAUGGCCCUUAUGCCCCGGGCUGCACACGUGCUACAAUGGUCGGUACAAACGGAAGCGAAGCCGAGAGGUGAAGCGAAUCCUAAAAAGCCGAUCUCAGUUCGGAUUGGAGGCUGAAAUUCGCCUCCAUGAAGUUGGAAUCGCUAGUAAUCGCGGAUCAGCAAUGCCGCGGUGAAUAUGUUCCCGAGCCUUGUACACACCGCCCGUCAAGCCACCCAAGCAGGAUGCACCCGAAAACAUUAUAUCUAACCAGGGCAACUUGGAGGAAAGUGUUGAAGGAGUGUUUUGUGAGGAGGACUAAGUCGUAACAAGGUAGUCGUAGGAGAACCUGCGGCUGGAUCACCUCCUUUCU
RNAcentral lists this ribosomal RNA (1521 nucleotides) under uncultured Planctomycetales bacterium. Its description in RNAcentral is "16S ribosomal RNA". It matches the Rfam family "Bacterial small subunit ribosomal RNA". Lineage: Bacteria; Pseudomonadati; Planctomycetota; Planctomycetia; Planctomycetales. The record is from RNAcentral.